RNAcentral lists this ribosomal RNA (322 nucleotides) under uncultured eukaryote. RNAcentral's name for it is "partial 18S ribosomal RNA". It matches the Rfam family "Eukaryotic small subunit ribosomal RNA", at positions 1470 to 1796 of the family's 1831-position model. The record is from RNAcentral.
CCCUUAGAUGUUCUGGGCCGCACGCGUGCUACACUGAGUGGAUCAGCGGGUCAGGUUACGCGAAAGUGUUUCCUAAUCUUUAAACCCGCUCGUGAUGGGGAUUGACGGUUGCAAUUUUCCGUCAUGAACGAGGAAUACCUUGUAAGCGCGGGUCAUCAUCCCGCGCUGAAUACGUCCCUGCCCUUUGUACACACCGCCCGUCGCUCCUACCGAUUGAGUGGUCCGGUGAGGCUUUGGGAUCUGAGCGGAAAGAGCGUUUCGCUGUUUCUGCCCGGAAAACUCAGUCGAACCUUAUCAUUUAGAGGAAGGAGAAGUCGUAACA